ACGACUAUACUUCACAGGAUUAUUUCUGUAGUAAGUCUUCAUUUACUUUCUUUGCGAAAAUAAAAUUUGAUUUCAUGGA
Small nucleolar RNA from Rhagoletis pomonella (apple maggot), 79 nucleotides. RefSeq annotates it as small nucleolar RNA U3. The record is from RefSeq and is a predicted model, not a curated record. NCBI's taxonomy places the organism in Eukaryota, Metazoa, Arthropoda, Insecta, Diptera, Tephritidae. The transcript has a single exon.